ACACCGUUAAAAAUUUAACGGGGUAUUUUUACAACUCGUUAUAAAUUUGUAUAAAUUGCUUAGAGAUAUUCGAUCCGAUAAUCCUGGAAAGAACUCUAAAUUUCUAUCAGUCUUCAAUUAAAUUUCCAAUAGCAAUUCGGAUACAAUUCUCGUAUUAAUCAUAUUAUAUGGUAAAAGUCCACAAAAGGACUUGUUGGAGAUCUUAUAAAUGUGUUUUUCUUUGUGGUUUUGUGUCAACAGUCGCAAUAACUACCAUCCUGAUCCAUCCUGUCCUCAACAAUCUUAUGAUUUCGGAACUCUCCCCUUACAAAAUUGAGAUGUAUGCGAUGAAAACACGCAACCUUGCAGCUGCAAAGAUAGGAAUGCAGUCUGCAG
Molecule: long non-coding RNA, 375 nt
Filed under: Androctonus crassicauda
Lineage: Eukaryota; Metazoa; Arthropoda; Arachnida; Scorpiones; Buthidae
Source: RNAcentral